UGCCCUGUUUUACGCGGAAAUGCUGGGACCCAGGAUUGGCGGAGCCGGGCCGAGCAUGGGGAGGCAGCAUGUGCCCAGUCAGACCCCGGGCCUUGCUUGGGCAGGAGACCAGGGGGUGCCCUUCUAGGGAGGGGCACUCUGCUGAAGGGCACCUGCCCUUCAGCUCAAGGAUGGCAGCAUUUAAAUAUGGGCCAAGAGUAUGGAGGGUAGCAGCGGGCGAGGGCGUGGGAGACUCAGGGCGUGUGGCGUAGCGGAGCCCAGAGAAGUGUCCAUUCUCCACUCCUGAGACUCCUGCCCUCAGAGGACAUGGAGAAACCCGCGGCACUGGCCCUCGCUUGUGAGUGACGGAGAAACCCGCGGCACUGGCCCUCGCUUGUGAGUGACGGAGAAACCCGCGGCACUGGCCCUUGCUUGUGAGUGACGGAGAAACCCACGGCACCGGCCCUCGCUUGUCCAUAGAACACAAAACCACCUCCAGCCCAGGACCCCCGGCAAUGCUCAAGGACAUGUGUCUCCUGAAAUCCAUACGCAGUCCCAAGACCGAUGAAGGUGGAGCCCCUUGAGUCUCUGCCUCGCUGUGGACUCAAGGAACCAUCCUCCGUUCCUGCUGGUCUCAACGUCGUUGCCUGCCUGCAGCCUCUUUGGACACUUGGCAUCCCAGUGAUGCCUGCCCCAUACUCGACCAACCGUCCUUUCCCCACUCUGGCCCCGGAGAGGGCAAAGGCACCUGAGAAAGAGGAGGCAAAGCCCCUCUGCUUUCCAUACUCCUCCCCAGCCUGAGGGUCCAUGAGACCC
RNAcentral lists this long non-coding RNA (795 nucleotides) under Homo sapiens (human). Its description in RNAcentral is "non-protein coding lnc-PTP4A3-5:1". Lineage: Eukaryota; Metazoa; Chordata; Mammalia; Primates; Hominidae. The record is from RNAcentral.